Small nuclear RNA from Chlorocebus sabaeus (green monkey), 107 nucleotides. The record is from Ensembl. Lineage: Eukaryota; Metazoa; Chordata; Mammalia; Primates; Cercopithecidae.
GUGCUCGCUUUGGCAACACAUAUAUUAAAACUGAAACAAUACAGAGAAGACUAGUAUGGUCCCUACACAAGGAUGAUGUGCAAAUUCAUGAAGUGUUCCAUAUUUUA